GUUGUAUGGUUAAGUGACUAAGCGURCACGGUGGAUGCCUUGGCAGUCAGAGGCGAUGAAGGACGUAGUAACUUGCGAUAAGCGUAGAUGAGGCAGUAACAGCCACUUGAGUCUACGAUUUCCGAAUG
This 128-nucleotide ribosomal RNA is filed under the name Vibrio sp. 03_296. Its description in RNAcentral is "partial 23S ribosomal RNA". It matches the Rfam family "Bacterial large subunit ribosomal RNA", at positions 1 to 120 of the family's 2925-position model. Lineage: Bacteria; Pseudomonadati; Pseudomonadota; Gammaproteobacteria; Vibrionales; Vibrionaceae. The record is from RNAcentral.